Molecule: ribosomal RNA, 567 nt
Filed under: uncultured archaeon
Lineage: Archaea
Description: bacterial SSU rRNA
Rfam family: Archaeal small subunit ribosomal RNA
Source: RNAcentral
CCGCGAAUUCGCCCUUCGGGGUGCAGCAGGCGCGAAACCUUUGCAAUACACGAAAGUGUGACAGGGCUAUCCCGAGUGCCAUCCGCUGAGGAAGGCUUUUACCCAGUCUAGAACGCUGGGGGAAUAAGGAGAGGGCAAGUCUGGUGUCAGCCGCCGCGGUAAUACCAGCUCUCCGAGUGGUGUGGAUGUUUAUUGGGCCUAAAGCAUCCGUAGCUGGCUAGGUAAGUCCCUUGUUAAAUCCACCGAAUUAAUCGUUGGAUCGCGGGGGGUACUACUUGGCUAGGGGACGAGAGAGGCAGACGGUAUUUUCGGGGUAGGGGUGAAAUCCUAUAAUCCCGGGAAGACCACCAGUGGCGAAGGCUGUCUGCUAGAACGCGCCCGACGGUGAGGGAUGAAAGCUGGGGGAGCGAACCGGAUUAGAUACCCGGGUAGUCCCAGCUGUAAACGAUGCAGACUAGGUGUUUGGACGGCCACGUGCCGUUCUAGUGCCGCAGGGAAGCUGUUAAGUCUGCCGCCUGGGGAGUACGAUCGCAAGAUUGAAACUUAAAGGAAUUGGCGGGGGAGCAC